UGAAAAUGAAUGGUUUAAGUUAAGUGGAUAUGUUUUACGGCAGUCCACUAGCAAUUGAUCGGUUGUCAAGUGGUCUAUUUCAAGAGGUGAUUACCACGAAUACCAUUCCGGUGUCUGAAAAUAACUAUUUACCACCGCUGACUGUCUUAUUGGUAGCAAACCUACUUGGCGAGAGCAUCUGGCGUGUGCAUGAUGAUUACCCUAUCUUGUUAUGAAUAUGAAUGAAGAGGGUAAUCAAGCUUGCCCUCAAUGCAAAACCAGAUACAAACAAAUCAAAGGGAAUCCAAGAGUGAAUGGUGAUGAAGAAGAGGAUGAAUUUGAUGAUUUGGAUAAUGAAUUUAAUCUCUGAAACAAUGAUAGGAGAGACCCUCAUCAUAGUUUUUCUGAACUUCCUUCGCGCCAGAAUUUUGGGCCUGUUGCAUCCAAUAUUACUGGUUUUGCCACUGCAUUGGUGGUCAGCGCAAACGAUCUUAGCCACAAGAUCCCUCUUCUUACUUAUGGUCAAGAGGUAAUAGCACAAUGGUGAUUUUUGUUAUGGGGCGUUUGGACAUGCGUUUCAAAACUGAUUAUGUGAUGUUAAAUAACCUAAUAAGAUAAUUAGAUAUGAUUAAUAUCUUAGUGCUUAGUGAUAAAAUGAUCAAAUAGGACAUAAUGUUGAAAAAAAGGGUUAGC
Long non-coding RNA from Helianthus annuus (common sunflower), 672 nucleotides. RefSeq lists it as uncharacterized. The transcript has 3 exons. The record is from RefSeq and is a predicted model, not a curated record. NCBI's taxonomy places the organism in Eukaryota, Viridiplantae, Streptophyta, Magnoliopsida, Asterales, Asteraceae.